This is a microRNA precursor of Homo sapiens (human), 96 nucleotides long. Ensembl annotates it as microRNA 607. Its record names the gene MIR607. The record is from Ensembl. Lineage: Eukaryota; Metazoa; Chordata; Mammalia; Primates; Hominidae.
UUGCCUAAAGUCACACAGGUUAUAGAUCUGGAUUGGAACCCAGGGAGCCAGACUGCCUGGGUUCAAAUCCAGAUCUAUAACUUGUGUGACUUUGGG